This 497-nucleotide ribosomal RNA is filed under the name uncultured bacterium. RNAcentral describes it as "partial 16S ribosomal RNA". It matches the Rfam family "Bacterial small subunit ribosomal RNA", at positions 28 to 507 of the family's 1533-position model. The record is from RNAcentral.
GAUGAACGCUGGCGGCGUGCCUAAUACAUGCAAGUCGAGCGAACAGAUAAUGAGCUUGCGCCUUUGACGUUAGCGGCGGACGGGUGAGUAACACGUGGAUAACCUACCUAUAAGACUGGAAUAACUCCGGGAAACCGGGGCUAAUGCAGCAUAACAUGUUGAACCGCAUGGUUCUACAGUGCAAGGCGGCUUUGCUGUCUCUUAUAGAUGGACCCGCGCCGUAUUAGCUAGUUGGUGAGGUAACGGCUCACCAAGGCAACGAUCCGUAGCCGACCUGAGAGGGUGAUCGGCCACACUGGAACUGAGACACGGUCCAGACUCCUACGGGAGGCAGCAGUAGGGAAUCUUCCGCAAUGGGCGAAAGCCUGACGGAGCAACGCCGCGUGAGUGAUGAAGGUCUUCGGAUCGUAAAACUCUGUUAUUAGGGAAGAACAAAUGCGUAAGUAACUGUGCGCGUCUUGACGGUACCUAAUCAGAAAGCCACGGCUAACUACGUG